UCAGAUUGAACGCUGGCGGUAGGCUUAACACAUGCAAGUCNAGCGCGAAAGUUCCUUCNGGGAUGAGUAGAGCGGCGGACGGGUGAGUAACGCGUAGGAAUCUGCCUGGUAGUGGGGGAUAACUCGGGGAAACUCNAGCUAAUACCGCAUACGCCCCAUGGGGGAAAGCGGGGGACCUUCGGGCCUCGUGCUAUCAGAUGAGCCUGCGUCGGAUUAGCUUGUUGGUGAGGUAAUGGCUCACCAAGGCCAACGAUCCGUAGCUGGUCUGAGAGGAUGAUCAGCCACACUGGGACUGAGACACGGCCCAGACUNCUACGGGAGGCAGCAGUGGGGAAUAUUGGACAAUGGGGGCAACCCUGAUCCAGCCCAUACCGCGUGUGUGAAGAAGGCCUUCGGGUUGUAAAGCACUUUCAGUAGGGAGGAAAAGGUUUCGGUUAAUAACCGGGAUCCCUGACGUUACCUACAGAAGAAGCACCGGCCAAACUCCGUGCCAGCAGCCGCGGUAAUACGGAGGGUGCAAGCGUUAAUCGGAAUUACUGGGCGUAAAGCGCGCGUAGGCGGCUUGGUAAGCUGGAUGUGAAAG
Molecule: ribosomal RNA, 583 nt
Filed under: uncultured bacterium
Lineage: Bacteria
Description: bacterial SSU rRNA
Rfam family: Bacterial small subunit ribosomal RNA
Source: RNAcentral